AUUUAUUAUAGCCAUGAAAUGCUCUGCUCUCUUCUCUUUUCCUUGCUGUCCCCGGGGCUGGAGGAGCACGGGCCUCCCCGGGAGUGGGCUUCAGCCUCCCUGGACUCCUGUCUCCUUCCAAGGGCUGGGCCUGGGGGACCAGAAGCAAGAGUCCCCAGAGCGUCCAGGAUUUUUGGUUUCAAACCAAUUUCCUGCUGACCAGAAUGAAAUGGAGCCACAUUCCAGCACCAUGCACCUGCUGAUGUCCUGCAAGUCAGGGACCUUCUCUGCCCCUCUUUUGCUCCGCUGCAGGAGGGGGAAGUUGGGAAUGUGCUCCUCUGGAGUCCCAUCACCUCCAGCCAGCCACUGUCCCUGUCUCCCCAAAACCUCCUCGUUGUCCCUCCUCUGUCCUCCUCCUCCUCCAUCUGCCUUCGCCCUGCUCUCCUCAUUUUCACCUGAGGUUCAUGCUGCUUCCUCACCUCUUGUCCUGUUUCUCCCUUCUCUCUGCUCCCUCCUUUGAUCUUGCUAUUUUGUUUCUCUUUCCCUUCCUCUCUUCUCCUCCCUCCCCUUCCUCCCUGCUCCCUGCCUCAGCUUCUCAGUCUCUCUCCAUUCUUCCUCUAGCUUCCUUCCCUCCCCAGAAGACCCAGCCCUUCCUAGAGCCCCAGAAGCCAGGGUUCAUGCCCCAGCUCUCUACCCGCACAUGCUGUGCAACCCUGGGCCAGUCACUGGUCUGUUGGGCCUCAGUUCAACAGAUGGCUGUCUUGGCGAUGUGAGAUCAUAGGGUGGAAGCACCCAGAAUGGUGCCAGGCACUCAAAAAUUUUUUUCUUUUCCUUUUUAAGGAACUACUAACCGUGAG
RNAcentral lists this non-coding RNA (836 nucleotides) under Pongo abelii (Sumatran orangutan). The record is from RNAcentral. Lineage: Eukaryota; Metazoa; Chordata; Mammalia; Primates; Hominidae.